RNAcentral lists this long non-coding RNA (1222 nucleotides) under Taeniopygia guttata (zebra finch). RNAcentral's name for it is "lncRNA (ENSTGUG00000019818.1)". Lineage: Eukaryota; Metazoa; Chordata; Aves; Passeriformes; Estrildidae. The record is from RNAcentral.
UUUUUUUUUUUUUAAUUUGCACCUCAACUCUUUUACAAGUUGGGGAUAUUUACUGCAAAUAGUGUUUAAAAAAGCCCCAUGAGGAGAUAAGAGAUGGUAAACAGAGAUUCAAAGGGAAUGAGAGCAGUGAGCUCCUCCAGAGGACUCUGUGCUGUGCAUGCAGGGACAGAGCAGGGAGAGGGAAUGCUGCAUCCCAUUCCUGACAGAGGCAAGCACAGCCCUUCACUUACAGGCACCAGGAAAAGUGGCAAAUUUAGCUUCAUAUCAAAAUUAUCUUCUUGGGAUGGUUGGAAAGUUGGGGGGGAAUUGGGAGGGUGCUGGGGUAAAAGUGGGCUGUGCAUCCAUGGGGACACUCAGGUGAGGGAGGGGACACCCUGCCCUGCUGCUCCAGCACCCCCAGAGCAGCAGCUCCUCACAGCCCAUCCCCACCAAUUCCAUGUAAAUAAAUAUAUAUACAUACACAUGUGUGUGUAUAUAUGUGUGUGCAUCUCCAAAUUGUGUUUGUGCAUGGGCCCCUGGAAAUCCCCGCUGAGCUUGGCUGAGCACAGGGCAGGGAGCACCAGCCACCUCCUCCUGCUCUGCCAGACUGCUGGAUCUGCCCUAACUGACACCAAAAAUGGGGGGAAAAGCAUUUUGCAUCAGACAAACCCCUGAGUUUUUCCACAAAAGGGCUGUGAAUGAGAAAAAAACCCAAACCAAACCACAACAAAAUACCAGGGUGUUUUCAUUACUAUAACUCAGUGGUUCAGUAUUUAGAUAUCUAUUUGUACAUUAACAUUGAAAUAUCAUGGCUUGAAGCAAGUUAAUUAGAUGUAAUAGCUGAUAUUUGUGCUACAAAACACAUAUGUGUUUUACAUAUUAAAUAUAUAUAAUUACAAGUAUGUUUUCUAGAUCAAACAUGAGCCACAAGUCAAUGUUUUGUAUUAAUGUCAUAGCUUUAAAUUACAUAUGAUUUGGACCAAUAAAUGGUGCAAACAGUGCAAACAGCAUCUAUCUAUUUAUCUAUUGCUUUUUAGGUUUACACAUAGAUUCAGACACCAAUAUAUCUAUCUAUGGAUGUGCAGUGUGUACACGAGCUGGGCACUGCUGUGCCCGGCCACUGCUCCUCUCCCUGCAGGCUCUGGGCUGGGUUUGCUUUCUUUCAUUGUCUUCUUCUCCAUUUAUUUUCUUUUUGCAGGACUUAAUUAUUAUAAUCCUUCAUGGAAAAAAAAAAAAAAAAAAA